AGCGCAGACUUUGGGACGUGGAUCCGAGCCGGCGCGGUGGGUGGAGAGCAGGAGGAGGAGCCAUUCGACGGCAUGUUGCUGGCCAUGGCUCAGCAGCACGAGGGUGGCGUGCAGGAGCUCGUGAACACCUUCUUCAGCUUCCUUCGAUGCAAAACAGACUUUUUCACUGCAGGAGAAGAGGGGAUGGCAGAGAAGCUUAUCAUACAGACUUUCAGCCACGACAAUCAGCUGGCACAGAAGGCCUGGUGGGAGAAGAGAGCCCAGGAGAAGGCGGAGCGGGUCGCCAGGCUGGCUAAGGAAGCCAAGUCAGAGACCUCGGGGUCCCAGAUAAGGGCAGAGAAGCAGAGAGGCUGCAGCUAGAGAUUGACCAGAAAAAGGAUACAGAGAAUCAUGAGGCCCAGCUCAAGAAUGGCAGCCUUGACUCCCCAGGAAAGCAGGAGAAGAAGGAGGAAGAUGAGAAGGACAAAGGAAAACUGAAGCCCAACCUAGGCAACAGGGCAGACCUGCCUAAUUACCGCCGGACCCAGAGCCUGUCGGAGCUGGGCCUGGCGGUCCCUUUCCGUGUGAACUUCCAGCUGAAAGGGAAGGACAUGGUGGUGGACAUCCAGGGGCAGCACCUCCGGGUGGGGCUCAAGGGGCAGCCAGCGAUCAUCGAUGGGGAGCUCUACAAUGAAGUGAAGGUAGAGGAGAGCUCAUGGCUCAUUGAGGAUGGCAAGGUGAUGACUGUGCAUCUUGAGAAGAUCAGUAAGAUGGAGUGAUGGAGCUGCUUGGUGUCCAGUGACCCUGAGAUCAAUACCAAGAUGAUUAACCCUGAGAAUUCCAAGCUGUCAGACCUGGACAAUGAGACUCGCAGCAUGGUGGAAAAGAUGAUGUAUGACCAGAGACAGAAGUCCAUGGGGCUGCCAAUCUCAGACGAACAGAAGAAACAGGAGAUUUUGAAGAAGUUCAUGGGUCAGCAUCUGGAGAUGGAUUUUUCCAAGGCCAAAUUCGACUAGCCUGUGUUUUUUUCCUCCUUCAACUCUUGGGGCUGAGCUACAACCAUCCAACUUUCUUUCCCACUCUUCUCUGGCCCUUGUGGGCCUCAGGGCUUGGGGUAGGCAUGGGACUGGCCCAGGCACACAGGUCCCAGGGCAUCAGGAGAAAGGCUGGGGCUUGGGGUCUUGUCUUCCCCAGUGGCCUACUGUUACACAUUAAAGCAAUUUGCCCAGC
Molecule: RNA transcript, 1209 nt
Organism: Nomascus leucogenys (northern white-cheeked gibbon)
Lineage: Eukaryota; Metazoa; Chordata; Mammalia; Primates; Hylobatidae
Gene name: nuclear migration protein nudC pseudogene
Exons: 1
Source: RefSeq, a predicted model, not a curated record